AGAACGAACGCUGGCGGCAUGCCUAAUACAUGCAAGUCGAACGAACUCUUCGGAGUUAGUGGCGCACGGGUGCGUAACGCGUGGGAAUCUGCCCCUUGGUUCGGAAUAACAGUUGGAAACGACUGCUAAUACCGGAUGAUGACGAAAGUCCAAAGAUUUAUCGCCAAGGGAUGAGCCCGCGUAGGAUUAGCUAGUUGGUGAGGUAAAGGCUCACCAAGGCAACGAUCCUUAGCUGGUCUGAGAGGAUGAUCAGCCACACUGGGACUGAGACACGGCCCAGACUCCUACGGGAGGCAGCAGUAGGGAAUAUUGGACAAUGGGCGAAAGCCUGAUCCAGCAAUGCCGCGUGAGUGAUGAAGCCUUAGGCUGUAAAGCUAGUUUUACCCGAGAUGAUAAUGACAGUAUCGGAAGAUAAGCCCGCUAACUCCGCGACCAGCAGCCGAC
Molecule: ribosomal RNA, 444 nt
Filed under: uncultured soil bacterium
Lineage: Bacteria
Description: bacterial SSU rRNA
Rfam family: Bacterial small subunit ribosomal RNA
Source: RNAcentral